RNAcentral lists this small RNA (301 nucleotides) under Callithrix jacchus (white-tufted-ear marmoset). RNAcentral's name for it is "Metazoan signal recognition particle RNA (ENSCJAG00000082476.1)". It matches the Rfam family "Metazoan signal recognition particle RNA". From Rfam's summary of the family: The signal recognition particle (SRP) is a universally conserved ribonucleoprotein. It is involved in the co-translational targeting of proteins to membranes. Lineage: Eukaryota; Metazoa; Chordata; Mammalia; Primates; Cebidae. The record is from Rfam by way of RNAcentral.
GCUGGGCAUGGUGGCGCGUGCCUGUAAUCUGGCUACUCGGGAGGCUGAGGCAGGAGAAUUGCUUGAACCCAGGAGGCAGAGGUUGCAGUGAGCCAAGAUCAUGCCAUUGCACUCCAGGCUGGGUAACAAGAGUAAAACUCUGUCUCAAAAAAAAAAAAAAAGUUCAGAUUCUUUUUUUUUUUUUUUUUUUUUUUUUGGUUAGAGACAGGGUCUUGUUCUCUUCCCAGGCUGGAGUGCAGUGGCACAAUCUCGGCUCACUGCAACCUCUGCCUCCUGGGUUCAACUGAUUCUCCUGUCUCAG